CACCNGUGGCGAAAGCGGCUCUCUGGUCUGUCACUGACGCUGAGGCUCGAAAGCGUGGGUAGCGAACAGGAUUAGAUACCCUGGUAGUCCACGCCGUAAACGAUGAGUGCUAGGUGUUAGGCCCUUUCCGGGGCUUAGUGCCGGAGCUAACGCAAUAAGCACUCCGCCUGGGGAGUACGACCGCAAGGUUGAAACUCAAAGGAAUUGACGGGGGCCCGCACAAGCGGUGGAGCAUGUGGUUUAAUUCGAAGCAACGCGAAGAACCUUACCAGGUCUUGACAUCCCGAUGCUAUUCUUAGAGAUAGGAAGUUACUUCGGUACAUCGGAGACAGGUGGUGCAUGGUUGUCGUCAGCUCGUGUCGUGAGAUGUUGAGUUAAGUCCCGCAACGAGCGCAACCCUUAUUGUUAGUUGCCAUCAUUAAGUUGGGCACUCUAGCGAGACUGCCGGUAAUAAACCGGAGGAAGGUGGGGAUGACGUCAAAUCAUCAUGCCCCUUAUGACCUGGGCUACACACGUGCUACAAUGGUCGGUACAACGAGUUGCGAGCCGGUGACGGCAAGCUAAUCUCUGAAAGCCGAUCUCAGUUCGGAUUGGAGGCUGCAACUCGCCUCCAUGAAGUCGGAAUCGCUAGUAAUCGCGGAUCAGCACGCCGCGGUGAAUACGUUCCCGGGCCUUGUACACACCGCCCGUCACACCACGAGAGUUUGUAACACCCGAAGUCGGUGAGGUAACCUUUUAGG
Molecule: ribosomal RNA, 740 nt
Filed under: uncultured bacterium
Lineage: Bacteria
Description: bacterial SSU rRNA
Rfam family: Bacterial small subunit ribosomal RNA
Source: RNAcentral